Molecule: ribosomal RNA, 208 nt
Filed under: uncultured bacterium
Lineage: Bacteria
Description: partial 16S ribosomal RNA
Rfam family: Bacterial small subunit ribosomal RNA
Source: RNAcentral
UGCGCAGGCGGUUAUAUAAGACAGAUGUGAAAUCCCCGGGCUCAACCUGGGAACUGCAUUUGUGACUGUAUAGCUAGAGUACGGCAGAGGGGGAGUGGAAUUCCACGUGUAGCAGUGAAAUGCGUAGAUAUGCGGAGGAACACCGAUGGCGAAGGCAAUCCCCUGGGCCUGUACUGACGCUCAUGCACGAAAGCGUGGGGAGCAAACA